UAGGAGGAAAAUCCGUCGACUUUAUAAAUCGUGAGGGUUCAAGUCCCUCUAUCCCCAAUACUAUCCCCAA
Molecule: transfer RNA, 70 nt
Filed under: Diclinanona calycina
Lineage: Eukaryota; Viridiplantae; Streptophyta; Magnoliopsida; Magnoliales; Annonaceae
Description: partial tRNA-Leu
Source: RNAcentral